ACGGAGGGAGCUAGCGUUGUUCGGAAUGACUGGGCGUAAAGGGCGCGUAGGCGGUUUUUUAAGUGAGGCGUGAAAGCCCUGGGCUUAACCCAGGAGGUGCGUUUCAUACUGGAAGACUUGAGUGCGAGAGAGGAAAGUGGAAUUCCUAGUGUAGAGGUGAAAUUCGUAGAUAUUAGGAAGAACACCUGUGGCGAAGGCGGCUUUCUGGCUCGCAACUGACGCUGAGGCGCGAAAGCGUGGGGAGCAAACAGG
RNAcentral lists this ribosomal RNA (252 nucleotides) under uncultured bacterium. RNAcentral's name for it is "partial 16S ribosomal RNA". It matches the Rfam family "Bacterial small subunit ribosomal RNA", at positions 525 to 776 of the family's 1533-position model. The record is from RNAcentral.